Molecule: ribosomal RNA, 259 nt
Filed under: uncultured bacterium
Lineage: Bacteria
Description: partial 16S ribosomal RNA
Rfam family: Bacterial small subunit ribosomal RNA
Source: RNAcentral
GUCCACACUGUAAACGAUGAAUACUAGGUGUGGGGGACUGACCCCUUCCGUGCCGGAGUUAACACAAUAAGUAUUCCACCUGGGGAGUACGAUCGCAAGAUUGAAACUCAAAGGAAUUGACGGGGGCCCGCACAAGCAGUGGAGUAUGUGGUUUAAUUCGAAGCAACGCGAAGAACCUUACCAGGGCUUAAAUGUAGAUUGACCGGACUGGAAACAGUUUUUUCGCAAGACAAUUUACAAGGUGCUGCAUGGUUGUCGU